GAUGAACGCUGGCGGCGUGCCUAAUACAUGCAAGUCGAGCGAACGGACGCGACGCUUGCUUUUCUGAUGUUAGCGGCGCACGGGUGAGUAACACGUGUAUAACCUACCUAUCAGACUGGGAUAACUUCGGGAAACCGGAGCUAAUACCGGAUAAUAUUUUGAUCCGCAUGGUUCAAAAGUGAGAGACGGUCUUGCUGUCACUUAUAGCUGGAUCCGCGCUGCAUUAGCUAGUUGUUAAGGUCACGGCUUACCAAGGCAACGAUGCGUAGCCGACCUGAGAGAGCGAUAGGCCACACUAGAACUGAGACACGGUCCAGACGCCUACGGGAGGCAGCAGUAGGGAAUCUGCCGCAGUGGGCGAAAGCCUGACGGAGCGACGCCGCGUGAGUGAUGAAAGUCUUCGGAUCGUAAUACUCUGUUAUUAGGGAAGAACAUAUGUGUAAGUAACUGAGCACAUCGUGACGGUACCUAGUCAGAAAGCCACGGCUAACUACGUG
Molecule: ribosomal RNA, 497 nt
Filed under: uncultured bacterium
Lineage: Bacteria
Description: partial 16S ribosomal RNA
Rfam family: Bacterial small subunit ribosomal RNA
Source: RNAcentral